Molecule: ribosomal RNA, 2900 nt
Filed under: Escherichia coli
Lineage: Bacteria; Pseudomonadati; Pseudomonadota; Gammaproteobacteria; Enterobacterales; Enterobacteriaceae
Description: 23S ribosomal RNA
Rfam family: Bacterial large subunit ribosomal RNA
Source: RNAcentral
GGUUAAGCGACUAAGCGUACACGGUGGAUGCCCCGGCAGUCAGAGGCGAUGAAGGACGUGCUAAUCUGCGAUAAGCGUCGGUAAGGUGAUAUGAACCGUUAUAACCGGCGAUUUCCGAAUGGGGAAACCCAGUGUGUUUCGACACACUAUCAUUAACUGAAUCCAUAGGUUAAUGAGGCGAACCGGGGGAACUGAAACAUCUAAGUACCCCGAGGAAAAGAAAUCAACCGAGAUUCCCCCAGUAGCGGCGAGCGAACGGGGAGCAGCCCAGAGCCUGAAUCAGUGUGUGUGUUAGUGGAAGCGUCUGGAAAGGCGCGCGAUACAGGGUGACAGCCCCGUACACAAAAAUGCACAUGCUGUGAGCUCGAUGAGUAGGGCGGGACACGUGGUAUCCUGUCUGAAUAUGGGGGACCAUCCUCCAAGGCUAAAUACUCCUGACUGACCGAUAGUGAACCAGUACCGUGAGGGAAAGGCGAAAAGAACCCCGGCGAGGGGAGUGAAAAAGAACCUGAAACCGUGUACGUACAAGCAGUGGGAGCACGCUUAGGCGUGUGACUGCGUACCUUUUGUAUAAUGGGUCAGCGACUUAUAUUCUGUAGCAAGGUUAACCGAAUAGGGGAGCCGAAGGGAAACCGAGUCUUAACUGGGCGUUAAGUUGCAGGGUAUAGACCCGAAACCCGGUGAUCUAGCCAUGGGCAGGUUGAAGGUUGGGUAACACUAACUGGAGGACCGAACCGACUAAUGUUGAAAAAUUAGCGGAUGACUUGUGGCUGGGGGUGAAAGGCCAAUCAAACCGGGAGAUAGCUGGUUCUCCCCGAAAGCUAUUUAGGUAGCGCCUCGUGAAUUCAUCUCCGGGGGUAGAGCACUGUUUCGGCAAGGGGGUCAUCCCGACUUACCAACCCGAUGCAAACUGCGAAUACCGGAGAAUGUUAUCACGGGAGACACACGGCGGGUGCUAACGUCCGUCGUGAAGAGGGAAACAACCCAGACCGCCAGCUAAGGUCCCAAAGUCAUGGUUAAGUGGGAAACGAUGUGGGAAGGCCCAGACAGCCGGGAUGUUGGCUUAGAAGCAGCCAUCAUUUAAAGAAAGCGUAAUAGCUCACUGGUCGAGUCGGCCUGCGCGGAAGAUGUAACGGGGCUAAACCAUGCACCGAAGCUGCGGCAGCGACGCUGAUGCGUUGUUGGGUAGGGGAGCGUUCUGUAAGCCUGCGAAGGUGUGCUGUGAGGCAUGCUGGAGGUAUCAGAAGUGCGAAUGCUGACAUAAGUAACGAUAAAGCGGGUGAAAAGCCCGCUCGCCGGAAGACCAAGGGUUCCUGUCCAACGUUAAUCGGGGCAGGGUGAGUCGACCCCUAAGGCGAGGCCGAAAGGCGUAGUCGAUGGGAAACAGGUUAAUAUUCCUGUACUUGGUGUUACUGCGAAGGGGGGACGGAGAAGGCUAUGUUGGCCGGGCGACGGUUGUCCCGGUUUAAGCGUGUAGGCUGGUUUUCCGAGCAAAUCCGGAAAAUCAAGGCUGAGGCGUGAUGACGAGGCACUACGGUGCUGAAGCAACAAAUGCCCUGCUUCCGGAAAAGCCUCUAAGCAUCAGGUAACAUCAAAUCGUACCCCAAACCGACACAGGUGGUCAGGUAGAGAAUACCAAGGCGCUUGAGAGAACUCGGGUGAAGGAACUAGGCAAAAUGGUGCCGUAACUUCGGGAGAAGGCACGCUGAUAUGUAGGUGAAGUCCCUUGCGGAUGGAGCUGAAAUCAGUCGAAGAUACCAGCUGGCUGCAACUGUUUAUUAAAAACACAGCACUGUGCAAACACGAAAGUGGACGUAUACGGUGUGACGCCUGCCCGGUGCCGGAAGGUUAAUUGAUGGGGUCAGCGCAAGCGAAGCUCUUGAUCGAAGCCCCGGUAAACGGCGGCCGUAACUAUAACGGUCCUAAGGUAGCGAAAUUCCUUGUCGGGUAAGUUCCGACCUGCACGAAUGGCGUAAUGAUGGCGGGCUGUCUCCACCCGAGACUCAGUGAAAUUGAACUCGCUGUGAAGAUGCAGUGUACCCGCGGCAAGACGGAAAGACCCCGUGAACCUUUACUAUAGCUUGACACUGAACAUUGAGCCUUGAUGUGUAGGAUAGGUGGGAGGCUUUGAAGUGUGGACGCCAGUCUGCAUGGAGCCGACCUUGAAAUACCACCCUUUAAUGUUUGAUGUUCUAACGUUGACCCGUGAUCCGGGUUGCGGACAGUGUCUGGUGGGUAGUUUGACUGGGGCGGUCUCCUCCUAAAGAGUAACGGAGGAGCACGAAGGUUGGCUAAUCUCGGUCGGACAUCAGGAGGUUAGUGCAAUGGCAUAAGCCAGCUUGACUGCGAGCGUGACGGCGCGAGCAGGUGCGAAAGCAGGUCAUAGUGAUCCGGUGGUUCUGAAUGGAAGGGCCAUCGCUCAACGGAUAAAAGGUACUCCGGGGAUAACAGGCUGAUACCGCCCAAGAGUUCAUAUCGACGGCGGUGUUUGGCACCUCGAUGUCGGCUCAUCACAUCCCGGGGCUGAAGUAGGUCCCAAGGGUAUGGCUGUUCGCCAUUUAAAGUGGUACGCGAGCUGGGUUUAGAACGUCGUGAGACAGUUCGGUCCCUAUCUGCCGUGGGCGCUGGAGAACUGAGGGGGCUGCUCCUAGUACGAGAGGACCGGAGUGGACGCAUCACUGGUGUUCGGGUUGUCAUGCCAAUGGCACUGCCCGGUAGCUAAAUGCGGAAGAGAUAAGUGCUGAAAGCAUCUAAGCACGAAACUUGCCCCGAGAUGAGUUCUCCCUGACCCUUUAAGGGUCCUGAAGGAACGUUGAAGACGACGACGUUGAUAGGCCGGGUGUGUAAGCGCAGCGAUGCGUUGAGCUAACCGGUACUAAUGAACCGUGAGGCUUAACCUU